UACGAAGGGGGCUAGCGUUGCUCGGAAUCACUGGGCGUAAAGCGCACGUAGGCGGAUCGUUAAGUCAGGGGUGAAAUCCUGGAGCUCAACUCCAGAACUGCCUUUGAUACUGGCGAUCUUGAGUUCGGGAGAGGUGAGUGGAACUGCGAGUGUAGAGGUGAAAUUCGUAGAUAUCGGGAGGAACACCGGUGGUGAAGGCGGCGACCUGGGUCGAGACUGACGCUGAGGCGCGAAAGCGUGGGGAGCAAACAGG
This 253-nucleotide ribosomal RNA is filed under the name uncultured bacterium. RNAcentral describes it as "partial 16S ribosomal RNA". It matches the Rfam family "Bacterial small subunit ribosomal RNA", at positions 524 to 776 of the family's 1533-position model. The record is from RNAcentral.